Molecule: ribosomal RNA, 498 nt
Filed under: uncultured bacterium
Lineage: Bacteria
Description: partial 16S ribosomal RNA
Rfam family: Bacterial small subunit ribosomal RNA
Source: RNAcentral
AUUGAACGCUGGCGGCAUGCCUUACACAUGCAAGUCGAACGGUAACAGGUCUUCGGAUGCUGACGAGUGGCGAACGGGUGAGUAAUACAUCGGAACGUGCCUAGUAGUGGGGGAUAACUACUCGAAAGAGUGGCUAAUACCGCAUGAGAUCUAAGGAUGAAAGCAGGGGAUCGCAAGACCAUGAGCUACUAGAGCGGCCGAUGGCAGAUUAGGUAGUGGGUGGGAGAAAAGCUUACCAAGCCGACGAUCUGUAGCUGGUCUGAGAGGACGAUCAGCCACACUGGGACUGAGACACGGCCCAGACUCCUACGGGAGGCAGCAGUGGGGAAUUUUGGACAAUGGGCGAAAGCCUGAUCCAGCAAUGCCGCGUGCAGGAUGAAGGCCUUCGGGUUGUAAACUGCUUUUGUACGGAACGAAAAGCCCCGGGUUAAUACCCUGGGGUCAUGACGGUACCGUAAGAAUAAGCACCGGCUAACUACGUGCCAGCCGCCGCGGUAA